This is a long non-coding RNA of Ostrea edulis (European flat oyster), 891 nucleotides long. RefSeq lists it as uncharacterized. The transcript is spliced from 2 exons. The record is from RefSeq and is a predicted model, not a curated record. Lineage: Eukaryota; Metazoa; Mollusca; Bivalvia; Ostreida; Ostreidae.
ACACUCCAGAGGAGGUACUUUGUAUUGGAAGAAGCAGGCAAAAUCCUUACUCUAUGACAUUGUAUAAUGCAUAUCUCUUUGUUGAUUAUUUCGAAGAGUAAUGUUUUUGUAAUAAGAACUAGCCUCUUUAAUACCAAUUAAAUGAAUUGUUAUUCAUAGGAUCUGAUACGAAUGACAUCCAUCGACCGCCUACUGGAGAAAAUCAAAGUACAGGAAGUACAAAAGAAAUUAAUUCAACUUCCAAAGGGCGGCGAACGUCAACCCUUUCCCGACGCCCUUGUCCAUGAAGGUAAAAAAAAAAACCCUACAAACUCAAUCGGGAAAUCACGGAGCUGCGAAUGACCACAGAAUUUUGUGUCGCACUCCUGAAAUCUCCAAUACAAAUUGUUAAAAUACUUGAAGAAGCAAAUAAUAUGUCAAAAGUGAAGUCUUGCUUUAAUGUAUGGAUGACAUAGAGGAUUUCCUUGUGGUAGAGACUCUAUAUUGGAUGACGAACAUCUUUGUAGUAAACGAUUCAUUUGUGAAGAACUUGUCAAAAGGGUAAGUAAUGUUAUGGAAAAUGAUGUCCGCGUCACUGUCGUGGAAUUAUCAGAUAUAUUUGAUGCUACGUGUAGCCAUGGCACCGUCUUCAUUAUUCUUACUGAACAUUUUGAAAUGAGAAAAGUUGCAGCCCGCUAGAUACCUAGACGAUAAAGCUAGAAGGCGCCACAGGCUGUGUGUGAAAUUUUGAGAAACUGUGAAACGCGACACUGUGACGUUGUCUUUUUAACGUAACGAUGCUCCAUGGCGAAAGAACACACUGUUUUUAAAAUUAUAUAUCACAAAUACUGUAUGAUCAAAUAGAAUUAAACCUCCCAGAUCGAUAAAAUAAAUGAUUUUAAAUUUUAAAUC